UACGGAGGGUGCAAGCAUUAAUCGGAUUUAUUGGGCGUAAAGGGCGCGUAGGCGGGGAGGUAAGUCAAAUGUGAAAUCCCGGAGCUCAACUCCGGAACUGCAUUUGAAACUACCUCUCUUGAGGGUAGGCGGAGAAAAUGGAAUUCCACGUGUAGCGGUGAAAUGCGUAGAUAUGUGGAAGAACACCUGUGGCGAAAGCGGUUUUCUAGCUUAUUCCUGACGCUGAGGCGCGAAAGCAAGGGGAUCAAACAGG
Molecule: ribosomal RNA, 253 nt
Filed under: uncultured bacterium
Lineage: Bacteria
Description: partial 16S ribosomal RNA
Rfam family: Bacterial small subunit ribosomal RNA
Source: RNAcentral